ACCCGACUUGAACGGAAAUCCUUUUUUGUGGCUGGAAAAGCGUAGGCAAAAAGAUUGGGAGUGGAAGGCGGAAAAGUUG
Molecule: small RNA, 79 nt
Filed under: Chryseobacterium piscicola
Lineage: Bacteria; Pseudomonadati; Bacteroidota; Flavobacteriia; Flavobacteriales; Weeksellaceae
Description: Flavo-1 RNA
Source: RNAcentral